Molecule: ribosomal RNA, 879 nt
Filed under: Triticum aestivum (bread wheat)
Lineage: Eukaryota; Viridiplantae; Streptophyta; Magnoliopsida; Poales; Poaceae
Description: partial small subunit ribosomal RNA
Source: RNAcentral
UCGGAGCGCAUUAUCUGCUCUAUUAAUAAUAUCCUUCGCUCGCUUCUUAUCCAAUGCAGUUCUCCGCUCGCCUAUUGGGUUGAAGCUCUUCACACAGCCACGUACCUUCUUAAUUUCCAUCCCACCAAAACCCUGAACUUUGGCAUUUCCCACCAAAUUCUCUUUGGUUCGCCUCCAGAUUAUUCCCACCUUCGUGUUUUUGGUUGUUGAUGUUAUCCUAACCUUUCGGCCACAGCCCCGCAUAAGCUUGCAGCCCGCUCCAAGUCUUGAGUGUUCUUAGGUUAUCCUACAAAUCAUCGUGGCUAUCGUUGUCUCGAUCUAUCCACCAACCGCAUCAUCAUCUCUCGUCAUGUGACCUUUGAUGAGGCUUCCUUUCCAUUCGCUGAAACUCCCACUUCACUAGUCUCUUCGGACUAUGACUUCCUCUCAACGGUAGCACAUAUACCACCACCGCUCCCGGUUGAUAGGACUGCACCUCCAUCUCCACCGGUGCAAAAUCCUCCCACUGUGUCGUGCACUACACCGGCACCCGAGCCGUCUGAUGUUGAGGCGCAAUUCAUACCUCCUACUGCCAUUCCAAUUCCUUCGGUUGUGAACAGCCACACCAUGCGCAUCCGUGGAAAGUCCGGCUUUCGACAACCCGUGGAUCGUCUAAAUUUGCAUGUCAUGGUUCCUUCUCCUAUCCCACGCACAUAUCGUGCAGCCCUCAAUGACGACAAUUGGCGUCUUGCCAUGCAGCAGCAGUUUGAUGCCUUGUGUGCUAAUCAUACUUGGGACCUUGUUCCUCGUCCACCUUGUACUAAUCUUGUUACCGGUAAAUGGAUUUUCCGACACAAGAUUAAGUCUGAUGGCACAUUGGACCGAUACAAGGCACGAUGA